This 253-nucleotide ribosomal RNA is filed under the name uncultured bacterium. RNAcentral describes it as "partial 16S ribosomal RNA". It matches the Rfam family "Bacterial small subunit ribosomal RNA", at positions 524 to 776 of the family's 1533-position model. The record is from RNAcentral.
UACGGAGGAUGCAAGCGUUAUCCGGAAUGAUUGGGCGUAAAGCGUCCGCAGGUGGCUAUGUAAGUCUGCUGUUAAAGAGUGAGGCUCAACCUCAUAAGAGCAGUGGAAACUACAUGGCUAGAGUGCGUUCGGGGCAGAGGGAAUUCCUGGUGUAGCGGUGAAAUGCGUAGAGAUCAGGAAGAACACCCAAGGCGAAAGCACUCUGCUGGGCCGACACUGACACUGAGAGACGAAAGCUAGGGGAGCAAAUGGG